GUGGGGGGCGCGGACAUGUCCGGUGACGCGCCUCCUGCGUCCGCGCUGGAAGCAGCGGGUGUUGUGGGGAAGGCGGUGUGCGCAGGCGCGGCGCUGACGGCCGCUCUCUACCUGAUCCGCAGAGUGUGUUUAAUAAUGGCCUGGAAAUCAGGAGGAACCAGCCAAGCAGAGCUCGUCAACAACCUCCGCAAGAAUGGCAUCAUUAAGUCGGACCGUGUGUAUGAAGUUAUGCUGGCUACAGAUCGAGCCCACUUCUCCAGAUGUAACCCCUAUAUGGACUCUCCACAGUCUAUAGGCUACCAGGCAACCAUCAGUGCACCACACAUGCACGCAUAUGCACUGGAGCUCCUACAUGAUCAGCUGUACGAGGGUGCCAAAGCCCUGGAUGUGGGCUCAGGCAGUGGCAUCCUGUCCGUCUGUUUUGCCAGAAUGGUGGGGCCAAAGGGAAAAGUCAUAGGGAUUGACCACAUAAAAGAACUAGUGGACGACUCGAUCAAUAACGUAAAGAAAGACGACCCUUCUUUGAUAUCAUCAGGACGCAUUAAACUUAUUGUUGGAGAUGGAAGGUUGGGAUUUUUGGAGGAGGCACCCUAUGAUGCUAUUCACGUAGGAGCUGCAGCUCCCUCUGUGCCACAGGCUCUGUUGGACCAGCUGAAGCCGGGUGGGCGUCUGAUCCUGCCAGUGGGGCCAGCAGGAGGGAACCAAAUGCUGGAGCAGCACGACAAGAUGGAGGACGGCAGCACCAAAAUGAAGCCCCUAAUGGGGGUGAUUUACGUGCCUUUAACAGACAAAGACAAGCAGUGGUCCAGGUGGAAGUGACUUCCUGUCCCUUGUCCCCUCUCUCCCUCCCCCAGGGCACAGGUGAAAUGGGAUGAACUCUGAAACGACAGUCUGGCAAUAUUCACCACCACGCGUACAGAAAACCCACACACAUCUACACACUCAUGACAUACACACCAUCCAUCAGGACUUAACAACUAAUGACGAGAUGGUAAACCCACGGUGAAGGAAAAUCCACACUGAUUGCACUCGUGCUCUCGGAACAGUCCCGACUGCUGUGUGGCCAAAGAGCCCUCAGGAUGGAUGGAACAGAAUGAUUGCUGUUAAAAAGGGAAAAAAAAGAAAACAACAAAAAAACAACACAAAAUAGGAAAAGAAGAGUGGGGCUUUGUCUUGACAUUGUCAUGCCUGCAGUUUGCUUUGGGAUUGUGAACUUAUUUUCAUUUUCUCUUUUUGAUCGUUGAUUUGCAGGUGCACAUGUUUUUUGUGAUAACUACAGUAUUGCAAUUAUUUUAUUUUUGUUUAUGUGCAUUUCAGCUUGGUUGGAGCUGAGCCUAAGGGGGUGCUGUGUCUCUUUUGGACUAUAGGACAGGACAGAGUGUUCUUAGAAGAGGAGCCUGCGCUCCAUUAUAAUAUUAAUGACGCUAGCCUUCGGCGCAUAGUAGAGAAGCUGCAGCAGUGUUGAACACAUCUAGGCUCAAGUCUAGAUUGUAAUGUUUAAGAAUCCCAGCUGGGAAUCCUUAGGCCCUGUCUUGAGUCUAGAGUGGCAGAGUGUUCUUGAUCAGGGCUUCCAAAAUGUUCUUUAUAGAGAUCACUUCUUGACUGAGGACCCCCUUUCCCACCAACAUUAUUUUCUUGAUAACAAACUAAAAAUGAUUUUCAUUGAGUGCAGUUGUCUACAUGGCACAUACUUCUAUUUUACAGAAAUUGGAGAUUUCUGAAAUGAAACAAAUAAAUCCUUGUGUAGCAAGGUCAAUAAGAGAGUGAUGCUCUGAUUGUGUUUGUUUUCUUUUUUUGUUGAAGGGUGCAGAAACAGUGUGUUAGCUAGCUAACAGUCAAAAGUCUAAGCUUGCUAAUUUAGUUUAAACAUUGUUUUUAAAAGGACAUCAAGAUGAUCAACCAGAGUAUAAUACCAUAAUGUCCUUCAUUGGACAUUAAAGUAAGUGAUUAAUGUCAGUUGCACAAUGUUCAACUGUUAGUGCAUAUCUGUUUUUUACUCUUUGGAUUUAACACAGAUUGAGGUCUGUUGUUCAACAGGAUUGACAUCUAUUGCUUGAGCUUGGCCUCACCCACUGCAUUGGACAAAAUAAAAAAAUUGCAUUUUGAGUUAUUUUUAUUGCUUAGGGAUGAUUUGUGAAAUGUAAAAUUUACAUAAAAAGUAUAUAAAAUAGGAUCAACAAUGUAAAAUAAAUGAUUACACUCCAAUUAAAAUAAAAAUGUUUCAGGUCAGAAAGGGUUAAUAAGUUUGCUAAUGUAAAGUCUAUAUAGCUAGCUAAGUUCAAAACAGGUAUAAAGAUUAAUGAUUGAAUUGGAGUAUCAAUGAUUUAUUGGCAGUCUGGCUAACACUGUAACGUUACAAUGAAUCAUUUCCAUUGUUCUUUGGCUCACUAAGUGAAUUUCUUUUUCAAGAUUAGCUGGCUAGCUAACUCGCUAGUUUCUAAACAAGUACCGGUAAAUAGAUUGAUGAUUCAAAGGUGCAGUACUGUUUUGUUGUCUGUGUUGGAGAUGAAAGUCAAAAGGAUUAAUCUCAAUUAUAAAGUAUUCCAAUUUUCUUUAAGUGCCCAUUUCAUAGUCUAAUUUUGUGAAAACCUUGGGGGUCCCUCGUACAGUUUAAGAAUCUCGGCUCUUGAUCUCCAGUCUCCGACUCCAUUGAUCUGCUAGAGCUCCAGCUGAGUUUAGUGUAGAUUUGCUCAUUCUGGUUAUGACAGUAUUUUAACCCUGCUCACUGUAGCUGAUCUGCACGCAGCUCAUGCUAAUUCGCACUGGCAGGCCGACACGCUACUGUUGGAGGGUCACGUUGCGUGCAAACAGCAGCACGAAGCCAGCUUUUGCACACACACACACACACUCACUCCCACAGACACGCAAACACAUUCACUGACUCGCACACACACAUGCAGGGCUGUGCUUGCGCCCCCUUCCACUUUGGAAGUGCUCUCUGUCACUGGUCAACAUGCUGAUUCUCUGCGCAGGUGGUGUGAUGCCUGCAUUCGCACAAACUUGGCUUUGUACAAAUAAAACUCAACGCAGUGCAAA
Molecule: RNA transcript, 3036 nt
Organism: Astyanax mexicanus (Mexican tetra)
Lineage: Eukaryota; Metazoa; Chordata; Actinopteri; Characiformes; Acestrorhamphidae
Gene: pcmt1
Gene name: protein-L-isoaspartate (D-aspartate) O-methyltransferase
Exons: 8
Source: RefSeq, a predicted model, not a curated record